AAUGUGGCAUCGGAUAAGUAUAAUAGAUGGGUUUUCAUCUACCAAAAGAAGUCUAAGUAUAGAAAUACAUACCAUAUAUGGACCGUCAGAUUUAGAGAUUAAUGGCCACGAUAUGGAAUGACUCCUUGUUUUGGUUGGGUUAUAAUAAGACGGAUUUGUGUCAUGUGAGGGGUAAAUUAGGAAUCAAAAAAAUUAGGAACCGUCAUUCCUUUUUUCAAGUGCGGAUUAAUUGGGAGUCAUUACUCCACACUUUAAACUCUUCCACUCUCCCUCAAAUCUUCUUCUUCUUCCACAAAAUUCAGAAAAACCCUACCUCCACACAAAGCGGCUACUCCACAAGAUCGGCUACUCCACAAAAUCGGAUACUCCACAAAAACCAUCAUCCUAAUUUACUAUUCUGAAAUCGACGAGGAUGGUGAACCAAAAGCCUACUUAAACAAUGAUCGACACUCGAGCUUCUGGAUCGGCAAGGCAUGACGGAAAAGUUUAUCAAAGAACGAUGGUAAAGAAGAAGAUACCGCCGAUCUCGAAAGCACCGAAAGGGUGUUUAGAUUACCACUAUUUUAAUUAAACGAUGUUUAGAGCUUGUAAUUCUCGUUUUUUAAACCAUGUUUAUAUGUCGGCUGGAUGUCAUUGUUACUAUAUAUUAUUUCAUCUGUAAGAUGAGAUAAACUUCCAUUACAAUGACCUUGGAAUGCUUUCCUCUUGUUUCUUGUA
Non-coding RNA from Salvia hispanica, 717 nucleotides. Lineage: Eukaryota; Viridiplantae; Streptophyta; Magnoliopsida; Lamiales; Lamiaceae. The record is from RefSeq and is a predicted model, not a curated record.